This 503-nucleotide ribosomal RNA is filed under the name uncultured bacterium. Its description in RNAcentral is "partial 16S ribosomal RNA". It matches the Rfam family "Bacterial small subunit ribosomal RNA", at positions 30 to 523 of the family's 1533-position model. The record is from RNAcentral.
AUUGAACGCUGGCGGCAGGCUUAACACAUGCAAGUCGAGCAGGGUGAUGGUGCUUGCACUAUCACUUAGCGGCGGACGGGUGAGUAAUGCUUAGGAAUCUGCCUAUUAGUGGGGGACAACAUCUCGAAAGGGAUGCUGAUACCGCAUACGUCCUAAGGGAGAAAGCAGGGGAUCACUUGUGACCUUGCGCUAAUAGAUGAGCCUAAGUCGGAUUAGCUAGUUGGUGGGGUAAAGGCCUACCAAGGCGACGAUCUGUAGCGGGUCUGAGAGGAUGAUCCGCCACACUGGGACUGAGACACGGCCCAGACUCCUACGGGAGGCAGCAGUGGGGAAUAUUGGACAAUGGGGGGAACCCUGAUCCAGCCAUGCCGCGUGUGUGAAGAAGGCCUUAUGGUUGUAAAGCACUUUAAGCGAGGAGGAGGCUCUUUUGGUUAAUACCCAAGAUGAGUGGACGUUACUCGCAGAAUAAGCACCGGCUAACUCUGUGCCAGCAGCCGCCGUAA